GUGUCAAGCAUGUGGCAGCAGAGCUUCCUGGGGAGGGGUUCUCAGAGCAAGUCAUUGCCGUUUACGAAGUAAGAUCUUUCUUUGACUCAGAUGGGAAUUGUAUUUCUCUUGGUUUCUUCCUAUUUCAUUUGAAUUAAGAUAUGCAAACCUUACCAUGGACAUUAUAUAAAAGUUACAGAAUUUCUUGGUGGGAAAAUGUGAGAGUUCAUGACCAACUAGGAACUGGCUCCAGAUGGUGUGCAUAGAUGAUACCUUCAGUUACAAACUGUAUGCAGAUAACAUUUUCCUCAGGAGAAAUGCUUACUGUUUGA
RNAcentral lists this small RNA (311 nucleotides) under Pongo abelii (Sumatran orangutan). RNAcentral's name for it is "retained intron". Lineage: Eukaryota; Metazoa; Chordata; Mammalia; Primates; Hominidae. The record is from RNAcentral.